This is a long non-coding RNA of Rhopalosiphum padi (bird cherry-oat aphid), 500 nucleotides long. RefSeq lists it as uncharacterized. The record is from RefSeq and is a predicted model, not a curated record. Lineage: Eukaryota; Metazoa; Arthropoda; Insecta; Hemiptera; Aphididae. The transcript has 3 exons.
CGUAGAUGUGAGUCAAUUUAGCCAAGCUGUUAAUCCAUCCUGGCUGCACAUAUAUUAUGUUAAAAAAUAAAAAUAAAAGGUACCUAUGUAGACAGCAACAGAUCGUCAGUUUCAACAAUUUUAAAGGGCAACGUGCAACAGUUUCCAAACUUUUACGACCACGGAACCCUUGAGAAAUAGUUUCUGUUUCGUGGAACCUCCUCUUUUUACCUUAGGCUAUGAGAUUCAACAUGACUUUCACUAGUGAACUAUAUCUACUACAUCUAUAGGUAAAUACUUGAAACAACUUUUAGCAAUGUAUAGAAUCUGAAAAUGUUGUACAUUUUAUGGAUGUUAAUUACAUUUAAAAAUAAUAAACAUUAAUACCUAAGUGUGUAAUACAACAUUUUGAAGAAUUUAGAAGAACUAUAUGUCUAUAACUAUUAAUAUUUUAAUUUACAUUAAGAACAUUUAAGUUUAUUUGAACUACCUAAUUAUUUUAAAAUUAAUUGUUAAUUUAG